This 1011-nucleotide long non-coding RNA is filed under the name Gallus gallus (chicken). The record is from RNAcentral. Lineage: Eukaryota; Metazoa; Chordata; Aves; Galliformes; Phasianidae.
GGCGUGCAGGGGGCCGCGCAGGGCCGGAGCCUGUGCCUGCGCCUGCGCCUGCGCCGGGUUUGUCCGGUACGGCUGUGCCGCUCGGUGUGCACCGCUCCUCGGGACAGCGUGUGCCGGGGCCCUCCUCGGGAAAUAUUUCUUCCUUCUAUGGAAACCAACGAGCACCCGGGCCUGCACUCUUGAUAUAAAUACCCGGUGAUGACCGACUUAUUGCGGGCGACCGGGCGACGAAUCCACCGUUGGGACAGCACUGCCGGUGUCAGGCCGUUCUUCCUAGAAAGAAAGAAAGAAAAAAAAUCUAAAAUCUUUAAGAUAUGUGUGGGAUCUGUUGAGUCACAGCCUGAACCACGGAUUGAUCACCUGUGGAAAGGACCCAGUCAGCCCUGAGAGCACAGGUGGAUUUGCCACAAGGUUUCUUACAAUGACUAACAGUAGAAGGAAAUGUGCUCUGAAGGGGUGUGCUUGCAAGUCGGCUCAAGAGAAAUGAAAAUCGUUGUAGCGGGGACCCUGCCUGGGAGCAGAGCAUUACCAAAUACGUUACUAUGCAAAGAAUCUCAUGUUGAAUAAUUUAGAAAUACCUUUUUGUUAGUGGUCAAGUAAAACAUGGCAACAGAGGGUAAUCUCAGGAAAAAGAGGGGAUAAAAACAUCUCUAUCAAGCCCAGACUUGAUGGGAAAGGAAGAGCUGAACAAGUGUGCGUGUCUGGGGGUGUUCAUCUUCUAGACUGCACCCAGAGAAGGAGAAUGAUUGUGAUGCUGCAGUCUCGGAACUCCAGUCAGUACACAAAUGGAAGGAUUUCUGGGCUGAGAUGAAUUUAUCUCCGCAGCUUCUAAUCUUUUGGAUUUUGUGUUCUAGUGCAGUGAAGCUUUUGGGCAUGAUUUAUCAUCACUAUAGCUAACACUGUAUGGGAAAAAAACUGACUUUAGAUCUUACAUCAAAGCUUUUAACAAAGCUUGUUUCCCUGGAUUUUACUUGCUUUCCAUUGUCUCCACCUCUCUGGUGCCUCUUUAAA